UAAAAGGAGCUCAACGUUUGUGUCUCGUCUUUUCUAUAUCGCAGGUCUAAAGAAAGGACUGUUCUUGGCAGAGUUAUUAACUUGCUGAACAGUGGAAAGAUAGAGCAGCCAUCUGCGGGAAGAUCUUGCCAGUGACGGUUUUAGCUUUGCAGACACACACUCUGCCCACAAACUGGAACGUCAAUCCAAGACGGGACGGGAAGGCUCACAGUGAGCUGCUGGCACCGGCGAAAACAAAAAGGUUGUGGUGCGUUUGAGAACAUUUGCAGAAGCCAAAGAUGACCUCCAGCUCUGGUCAUGACUACUUCUAUAUCCACUGUUACUGUCAAGAAGACAAUCUCUGCCAGCAAACGCAUAAAAACAUGCCAGGAAUAUGACAGGACAGAGGCGACUUGAGGCCUUGACAUCCGUGUCCAGAGAUGAGGACUUGUGGAUGGAAAUGAAACAAAGAGAUCAGCUCUCUGACAGAGUCAUCGAAGUCUUUCUGUGUAAAGACAGGAAGAUGGAUUUGGUUCUGUAAAAAAUAAUCAGCAA
This is a long non-coding RNA of Xiphophorus couchianus (Monterrey platyfish), 534 nucleotides long. RefSeq lists it as uncharacterized. The transcript has 3 exons. The record is from RefSeq and is a predicted model, not a curated record. Lineage: Eukaryota; Metazoa; Chordata; Actinopteri; Cyprinodontiformes; Poeciliidae.